This 2712-nucleotide long non-coding RNA is filed under the name Homo sapiens (human). RNAcentral describes it as "HSALNT0050161". The record is from RNAcentral. Lineage: Eukaryota; Metazoa; Chordata; Mammalia; Primates; Hominidae.
UAAGAAGGAAGUGGCUUUAUUUGGCCAGGAGCAUCAGCAGACUUGCAUGUCAAGAACUGAGCUCUCUGAAGAAAGAGUUCCUGGCCCUUUUAAGAACUUACAACUCUAAGGGGUUCACGUGAAAGGGUUGUGAUAGAUUGACAUUCAGAGAUAGCAUAUGUGAUUAGAGGGGGGCUAAUCUUUAACCUCUCUCUUCAUUCCCCCAUUUGAGAACCUUACUCACUAGUGGGAGGUCUCACUCUCAUCUUCACUACCCAGGUCUUUCUGCAAGACAGAUCGACAGUGAUUCAUGUAAUACACUUGUGUAUUACAAGACAUUCAUGUAAUACAUUUGUGCUGAAGUUUUCUGAUGAACCAAGGUAGUAACAAAACUUCUUAGAAGUUGGAGAAAUAUGGGUAACAAACAAAGGAGCAAUAGGAGGGUUGCAGCUGGAGAUCUGGGGAGGAGCUGGUGUUUUUUAGUUUGAGGGUCAUGCAGCUAUAGACCCUGGGAGGAGCAGGAGUUUCUUUAGUUUGAGGGUUGGGCAGCUGCAGAACCCGGGAGAAUCUGAUGUUCUGGUUUGAGGGUCCUGCAGCUGGAGACCCAGAGAGCAGCUGGUGUUUCUUUAGUUUGAUGGCCGUGCAGCUGUAGAACCCAGGGGGAGCUGGUAUUUUUCUAGUAUGAGUGUCCUGCAGCUGGAGACCUGGAGAAGAGCUGAUGUUCUAGUUUGAGGGUCGUGCCGCUGAAGACUCAGGGAGAAGCUGAUGUUCUCGUUUGAGGAUACUGCAGCUGGAGACCUGGAGAGGAGCUGAUGUUAUUCUAGUUUGAGGAUCAUGGAGCUUGAGAUCCACAGAGGAGCAGGUAUUGUUCUAGAUUGAGGUUCAUGUAGCUGAAGACCUGGGGAGCAGCGGGUGUUUUUUAGUUUGAGGGUCAUGCAGCUGUAGAACCCGGGAGGAGCUGGUGUUUUUCUAGUAUGAGUGUCCUGCAGCUGGAGACCUGGAGAGGAGCUGAUGUUGUUCUAGUUUGAGGGUUGUGCAGCUGAAGACUUGGAGGGGAGCUGAUGUUGUUCUUGUUGAGGGUCUUUCAGCUGGAGACCCAGAGAGGAGCUGAUGUGGUUCUAGUUUAAGGGUCAUGGAGCUGGAGACCCAGAGAGGAGCUGGUGUUGUUCUGAUUUGAGGUUCAUGCAGCUGGAGACAUGGAGAGGAGCGGGUGUUUCUUUAGUUUGAGAUUCAUGCAGCUGUAGAACCGGGGAAGAGCUGGCGUUUUUCUAGUAUGAGUGUCCUACAGCUGGAGACCAGGAGAGGAGCUGAUGUUCUAGUUUGAGAGCCAUGCGACUGGAGAUGCAAAGAGGAGCUGAUUUGGUUCUAGUUUGAGGGUCAUGGAGCUGGAGACCCAGAGAGGAGCUGGUGUUUCUUUAGUUUGAGGGUCAUACAGCUGUAGAACCCAUGAGGAGCUUGCAUUUUUCUAGUGUGAGUGUCCUGCAGCUGAAGACCUGGAGAAGAGCUGAUGCUUUCAAUUGAGGGUUGUGCAGCUUAAGACUCAGGGAGGAGCUGAUGUUCUAGUUUGAGGGCCAUGAGCUUAAGACCCGGGGAUGAGCUGAUGUUGUUCUGGUUUGAGGUUCAUGCACCUGGAGACCUGAGGAGGAGCGGUUGUUUUUUAGUUUGAGGGUCGUGCAACAGUAGAACCUGGGAGGAGCUUGUGUUUUUCUAGUAUGAGUGUCCAGCUGCAUGACCCUCAAACUAGAAACACCCGGGGAGGUUUUAUUAGUUUGCUGCUGUUUUUCUAGAUUGAGGGUCAUGCAGCUGGAGACGUGGGGAGGAGCUGAUGUUGUUCGAGUUUGAGGGUCAUGGAGCUUGGAGACCCAGGCAGGAGCUGGUGUUUUUCUAGUUUGAGGGUUGUGCAGCUGGAGACCCAGGGAGAAGCUGAUGUUGCUCUUAUUUGAGAGCUGUGGAGCUGGAGACCUGGAGAGGAGCUGAUGGUGUUCUAGUUUGAUGGUUGCAGAGCUGGAGACCCAGGGAGGAGCUGUUGUUUUUCUAGUUUGAGUUUCGUGCAGCUGAAGACCAUUGGAGGAGCUGAUGUUCUAGUUUGAGGGUUGUGCAGCUGGAGAUACAGGGAGAAGGUGGUCUUGCAGUUUAAAUGUGAGGGUCUUGGAGCUGGAAUCCAUGGGAGGAGCCAAUGCUGCCACUGAUGUCUUAGGUUGUGGAGCUGAAGACCCGCAGAGGAGCCAGUGUUGGUGUUCCAGUGUGAGGUUCGUGGAUCUGGAGACCCACGGAGGAGCAGGUGUUGGUGUUCUAGUGUGAGGGUCAUGGAUCUGGAGAUCCAUGGGGGAGUGGUGUUCUUCUAGUUUGUGGGUUGUGGUGCUGGAGACCCAGGGAGGAGCUGAUUCUUUUGUUGUUUAAGUCUGAAGGUCGUCAAGCUGGAGAUCCGGGGAAGAGCUGGUGCUGCGAUUCAAGUCUGAGGGUCCUGGAGCUUGAGACCCCAGGAGGAGAUGGUGCUGCCACUAAUGUCUUAGAUUGUAAAGCUGGAGAUCUGUGGAGGAGCUGGUGUUUCUGUUCUAGUGUAAGGUUUGUGGAUCUGGAGUCCCAGGGGUGAGCAGUGUUGUUUUAGUUUGAGGGUCAUGGAGUUAGAGACCCGGGGAGGAGCUGAUGUUGUAGUUUGAGGGUCGUGCAGCUGGAGACCCAGGGAGGAGCUGGUGUGUUUCUAGUUGGAGGGUUGUGGAGCUGGAGAUUCAC